Molecule: ribosomal RNA, 522 nt
Filed under: uncultured bacterium
Lineage: Bacteria
Description: bacterial SSU rRNA
Rfam family: Bacterial small subunit ribosomal RNA
Source: RNAcentral
AUUGAACGCUGGCGGCAGGCCUAACACAUGCAAGUCGAGCGGAUGAGUGGAGCUUGCUCCAUGAUUCAGCGGCGGACGGGUGAGUAAUGCCUAGGAAUCUGCCUGGUAGUGGGGGACAACGUUUCGAAAGGAACGCUAAUACCGCAUACGUCCUACGGGAGAAAGCAGGGGACCUUCGGGCCUUGCGCUAUCAGAUGAGCCUAGGUCGGAUUAGCURGUAGGUGAGGUAAUGGCUCACCUAGGCGACGAUCCGUAACUGGUCUGAGAGGAUGAUCAGUCACACUGGAACUGAGACACGGUCCAGACUCCUACGGGAGGCAGCAGUGGGGAAUAUUGGACAAUGGGCGAAAGCCUGAUCCAGCCAUGCCGCGUGUGUGAAGAAGGUCUUCGGAUUGUAAAGCACUUUAAGUUGGGAGGAAGGGCAGUAAGUUAAUACCUUGCUGUUUUGACGUUACCAACAGAAUAAGCACCGGCUAACUUCGUGCCAGCAGCCGCGGUAAUACGAAGGGUGCAAGCGUUAAU